UUUGUAUUACGUGCGGAAAUUGUUACCAUUUUCCGCUCAAAAAUGGUAACAAUUUCCGCACGUAAUACAAA
Molecule: microRNA precursor, 71 nt
Filed under: Paramuricea clavata
Lineage: Eukaryota; Metazoa; Cnidaria; Anthozoa; Malacalcyonacea; Plexauridae
Source: RNAcentral